Non-coding RNA from Pimephales promelas (fathead minnow), 1809 nucleotides. NCBI's taxonomy places the organism in Eukaryota, Metazoa, Chordata, Actinopteri, Cypriniformes, Leuciscidae. The record is from RefSeq and is a predicted model, not a curated record.
UACAUUCUUGUAUUGUGUUAAUAUGUUAUGCUUUAAUAUUAUUUGUAUGUUCAUUAACUUUAAUUGUAACAAUAUGAGUUUGCAUUGAACUUGCUGGGGAGAGGUGAAAGCUAUGAGAUGCCCUCAUGUGAUUUUUGUCAUCUUUGUGAUGUUGAACUUCAGAUGCUGCGAAAUCCAUGCUGAACGUGACUGAAUAAACCCCCAUGUUGGUGAACUACAAUACGUGUCCUGGUCCUAUAAUACACAACGCAGAGAGACUGAGAAGAGCAACAGCGGUCAGCGAGCGGACCAGUUACACUCAGACCACUGCGUAAAUUGGCCAUUUCAUCUGCAACAAACCUGUAUAGAAAACAGAUGCAAGGAAUGCAAUGGAAUAUAGCCUGCAUUAGACUUAGAUAUCUAAUGCAGUGUGAAAUGAUCUGUGAGAUUUAGUAUUUGAGGAAGUUACCAUUCAUCUGUCAUCUUAUCAUAGCACUCCACAUCACAGGUGGUGCUUAUUCCAUUAAACCCUCCGACAGCAAACAACCGACCAUUAACUACCUGGAUUUUGAGGAAGUUAAAAAGGAAAAUACCAUAGACUGUAAAAAAAUAUGGACGUAGUAUCCGUGACGUCACCCGUAGGUUUCUGAAGACCGUUUUUGAUGCCUAAAGUGGGCGUAGCCGACCGUCGCCAUCUUGGCAUUGCGUCACUCCCGGAAAAUCGAAAAUGGUCAACUAGGCGGGACGUGGGUGGAGCCGUGGAACCUGUUGCUGAAAACAUGCCCACCUAGCUCGACGCUAUCAAGUUGUCUUUGAAUCCUUUAAAUGGAAGAUAUUGGCGGUUGGAUUUUGAACCGAAUCAAACCAAGCUUACAAUUUGAGUGAUCGAUUUUGAGGUGAUGGCCACCCGCGACAAAUGCACCACGUCUGCACAUAGCUUAAACUACACAGUGUGGAUCAUUGGUGACAGCUAUGUCAGACGUGGUGCCCAGAGAGCUGCAGAGACCAUGGGAAGCAACCUCAGUCUGCCAGGCGUCCGUGUCUGUUGGUUUGGUUGUGGUGGGCUGCGGUGGAAAAGACUCCGUUCUUCUCCCACUCCCUGUGAGGAAGAGCAGCACCGGAUGUCCUCCUCAUCCACUGUGGCGGCAAUGACCUGGGGGUGGUCAGCAGCGUCCAGCUGGUGAACACCAUAAAGGAGGACCUGCACCAGCUUAAACUCCGGCACCCUGGCAUGAAGAUCAUGUUUUCAGCUGUGACCCAGAGGUGCCGGUGGAAGGCCGGUGCCAAUCCAGUUAAAAUUGACAAGGCGAGAAAGUUUGUUAACAGUGUUAUGGCUACAUUUGUUCGUAGUUUAAAUAGUGCCAUGAUUGAGCACCCUUGCAUUAGACAUGACAGUCCUGGGCUAUUUUUGAAAGAUGGAGUUCAUUUCACACCUAGGGGAAAUGAUAUGUUUUUAAGUACAUUAGCUAACUGCCUUAAAGGCCACAUUCAAAUGCAGUAAACUCCGUACAGUUGGCAGUGUUACUGCUUUUGAAUUUUGCCUUUAUGGACAUUUUUGUAAGGCUCAAAUAUAGCCCUGACCAUCAUGUCUAAUUUUGAGGUUUUUAUGUUAAUUUAGAAACACCUGUAGCCAUAACACUGUUACCACCUCUGCUCUUCCUCAUCCAUAAAUCCCCCCUUCCCUUUUAAUAAAAAAGAUUCAAUCUUUCACCGUUGUUUGAGCAGUUUUUAAGGCAUGCAUUGAUUUUUCAUUUCAUUGUUUUAUGAAGUAAAUUUAGAAAAAUGUUUUGAUUAUUGUUUUAAUGUUUAUCAAAAAUGAGUUGCCAUGAA